RNAcentral lists this ribosomal RNA (253 nucleotides) under uncultured bacterium. Its description in RNAcentral is "partial 16S ribosomal RNA". It matches the Rfam family "Bacterial small subunit ribosomal RNA", at positions 524 to 776 of the family's 1533-position model. The record is from RNAcentral.
UACGUAGGGCGCAAGCGUUGUCCGGAAUUAUUGGGCGUAAAGAGCUCGUAGGCGGCUUGUCACGUCGAUUGUGAAAGCCCGAGGCUUAACCUCGGGUCUGCAGUCGAUACGGGCUAGCUAGAGUGUGGUAGGGGAGAUCGGAAUUCCUGGUGUAGCGGUGAAAUGCGCAGAUAUCGAGAGGAACACCAGUGGCGAAGGCGACUCACUGGGCUCCACCUGACGCUGAGGCGCGAAAGCGUGGGGAGCGAACCGG